UACGUAGGGGGCGAACGUUGUCCGGAUUUACUGGGUGUAAAGGGUGCUCAGGCAGUCUUGUAAGUCAGAGGUGAAAUCUCAAGGCUUAACCUUGAAACUGCCUUUGAUACUGCUGGGCUUGAGUACGGAAGAGGCGGAUGGAAUUCCUGGUGUAGCAGUGAAAUGCGUAGAUAUCAGGAGGAACACCGGUGGCGAAGGCGGUCCGCUGGUCCGUUUCUGACGCUAAAGCACGAAAUCUUGGGGAGCAAACAGG
This 253-nucleotide ribosomal RNA is filed under the name uncultured bacterium. RNAcentral's name for it is "partial 16S ribosomal RNA". It matches the Rfam family "Bacterial small subunit ribosomal RNA", at positions 524 to 776 of the family's 1533-position model. The record is from RNAcentral.